This 1005-nucleotide long non-coding RNA is filed under the name Coturnix japonica (Japanese quail). RNAcentral's name for it is "lncRNA (ENSCJPG00005009949.1)". The record is from RNAcentral. Lineage: Eukaryota; Metazoa; Chordata; Aves; Galliformes; Phasianidae.
GCUCCCUUGGCUAGUGGAGCUGGACUCUGCUGCAAGCUAUUGCUUUUUAAACAUUCAGGGCAGCUUGACUUGCUACAAGUGAGCAUGCUCACACUACCAGGAGCUUAACUUCUGUUGCCCUUCUCAGCUUCUCUGUUCUAGCACAAAAAAUGAACAGUAUAAGACCUGGAGUGCUUACCCUGCUCCAGCCGGUCCCACGAGAGCACAUGUGAACAAGAAGAACCAAAAAUGUACAUCCGAGACCUUGUUUCUGCUCUGAACGUGCCCCUGUUGUCUUUCAGCCAUACAUCUGACCUUAGCAUUCAGGGUUUAAUGCUGUAGGAAACUGGCCAUACAGGAAAUCCGAGAGCAACGCCGGGUAUUGUUUCUUUUCAACAGCCCCAGUCAUAAAGCACUGCAGUUGUGGAGCAGGGAGCUGCUGCAGCCAGAGCAGCGAGUCCUCCGAGAUGUGAAGUCAGAGUGAAUUCCAAGUCACCAGAGCUAGCACACAUCUACCAAGGCAUGAAUGAAGAAAAUACACUUGAUUUGGAUUCCAACGGCAUAAACUCCAACAAGGAUCAAGCAAAAGAAGCUUUAUACAGCAAAAGUGCAACCAACUUCUGUGCAUCACCAGGCAUCCUUUCCACUGCUCUGUGAGCACUGAGGGUAUGACUGCUUUGCAUCAAGCAACCACUGCACUCAGCUGUACCAAACACACAGGAGCUUGGUCCUGAAGUCAGAAGCGAGGUGCUGGAUUUGGCAUUGAUCCCACCACAGCUCAGGUUAAACACAGCAGCAGCCAUUCCAUCUGCACCGAGCAGUACUGACUUCUUCUGGUCACAGCUACCCAGCUUCUCUUCUCAUGGAAUUCAAUUUUCAGCCUCAAAAACAUGAGUCCAAACAAGCUUUGAUUGGCCGCAGAAGCAUAUUCUGCUCUAACUGGCACUUAAGAGACAUGUGAUAGUUUCUAGUUUGCUUCCAGGCCUAAAUGUCAUACCUAUAAAUUGUCUGUUGAGCAAAAAGAAC